CUCACCAAGGCGACGAUGCGUAGCCGACCUGAGAGGGUGAUCGGCCACACUGGGACUGAGACACGGCCCAGACUCCUACGGGAGGCAGCAGUAGGGAAUCUUCCGCAAUGGACGAAAGUCUGACGGAGCAACGCCGCGUGAGUGAUGAAGGUUUUCGGAUCGUAAAGCUCUGUUGUUAGGGAAGAACAAGUGCAAGAGUAACUGCUUGCACCUUGACGGUACCUAACCAGAAAGCCACGGCUAACUACGUGCCAGCAGCCGCGGUAAUACGUAGGUGGCAAGCGUUGUCCGGAAUUAUUGGGCGUAAAGGGCUCGCAGGCGGUUUCUUAAGUCUGAUGUGAAAGCCCCCGGCUCAACCGGGGAGGGUCAUUGGAAACUGGGAAACUUGAGUGCAGAAGAGGAGAGUGGAAUUCCACGUGUAGCGGUGAAAUGCGUAGAGAUGUGGAGGAACACCAGUGGCGAAGGCGACUCUCUGGUCUGUAACUGACGCUGAGGAGCGAAAGCGUGGGGAGCGAACAGGAUUAGAUACCCUGGUAGUCCACGCCGUAAACGAUGAGUGCUAAGUGUUAGGGGGUUUCCGCCCCUUAGUGCUGCAGCUAACGCAUUAAGCACUCCGCCUGGGGAGUACGGUCGCAAGACUGAAACUCAAAGGAAUUGACGGGGGCCCGCACAAGCGGUGGAGCAUGUGGUUUAAUUCGAAGCAACGCGAAGAACCUUACCAGGUCUUGACAUCCUCUGACAACCCUAGAGAUAGGGCUUUCCCUUCGGGGACAGAGUGACAGGUGGUGCAUGGUUGUCGUCAGCUCGUGUCGUGAGAUGUUGGGUUAAGUCCCGCAACGAGCGCAACCCUUGAUCUUAGUUGCCAGCAUUCAGUUGGGCACUCUAAGGUGACUGCCGGUGACAAACCGGAGGAAGGUGGGGAUGACGUCAAAUCAUCAUGCCCCUUAUGACCUGGGCUACACACGUGCUACAAUGGACAGAACAAAGGGCUGCGAGACCGCAAGGUUUAGCCAAUCCCACAAAUCUGUUCUCAGUUCGGAUCGCAGUCUGCAACUCGACUGCGUGAAGC
This 1069-nucleotide ribosomal RNA is filed under the name Bacillus sp. (in: firmicutes). Its description in RNAcentral is "bacterial SSU rRNA". It matches the Rfam family "Bacterial small subunit ribosomal RNA", at positions 264 to 1326 of the family's 1533-position model. Lineage: Bacteria; Bacillati; Bacillota; Bacilli; Caryophanales; Bacillaceae. The record is from RNAcentral.